Molecule: RNA transcript, 5058 nt
Organism: Triticum aestivum (bread wheat)
Lineage: Eukaryota; Viridiplantae; Streptophyta; Magnoliopsida; Poales; Poaceae
Exons: 6
Source: RefSeq, a predicted model, not a curated record
UCUCGGCCCCAUCAUUUCCUCCCUUUGCCAGAGCGCGCGGCUGCGGCCCGCGCCGUGCCCACCUUCGCUGCGCCGCAGCAAGCGUUCCAAGGCCUCCCAUGCCCACGCCGGCACGCCAUUCUCCACACUGGACCUUCCACUAAGCCAUGCUCCUCCUCACAAGGCUGGCCAAACCCGGGUGCUGCUCUCCGACGACCUCCCCGCGUGUCGCCCAUGCCGCUCUCGGGUGGAACCGGUUCUUCCACACCGGCGACGCACACAAUGUGUUCGGUGCGAUGCCUGCACCGGACCACAGGCAGUGCAGUGAGCUGCUCAGGGCGCGCACCGCGAGCGGGGAUCACUACGGGUCCGUCUGCCUCGUCCGCGGGAUGCUCGGGCGGGACCUCCGGCCCGACAGGCUCGCGCUCGCCGCGGCGAUCAAGUCGGCGUCGGCGCUCCCCGACAGCGGUGCCCUGGGGAGGUGCCUCCACGGGUUUGUUGUCAGGCUCGGGAACGCCGCGGGCGUGGCUGUGGCGAAGGCGAUCAUGGACAUGUACGGGAGGCGUGGGGCUCUGACGGACGCCCGCCUGGUGUUUGAUGAAAUGGGCUGCCCUGACGCGGUUUGUUGGAACAUCCUGAUCACUGGGACCUCCCGGGCUGGGCAUUUUGACGACGUAUUUGCCUUGUUCCGGUCUAUGCUUGCGUGUGGUGUAGAUGAAAGCAUGCCGACUGCGGUAACGGUGGCUGUCGUCAUUCCGGUAUGUGCAAAACUGAGAGAUUUGACGGCUGGGAGGAGUGUCCAUGGCUAUGUCGUCAAGACUGGGUUGGAAUCUGAUACGUUGUGUGGGAAUGCAUUGGUAUCAAUGUAUGCAAAAUGUGGUGCAGGUGGAAUCACGGAUGAUGUGCAUAGAGCCUUUUCUUCAAUUCAUUGCAAGGAUGUUGUUUCUUGGAAUUCGAUUAUCGCAGGAUACUCUGAGAAUGGGUUGUUCGAAGAAGCACUCGUACUAUUUGGUCAGAUGAUCUCAGAGGAAUGUCUUCCGAAUUAUUCAACAGUAGCCAAUAUUCUUCCUGUAUGCUCGUUUAUGGAGUAUGGGAGGAACUAUGGCAAAGAAGUGCAUGGUUUCGUGUUCCGGUUUGGCUUAUAUAUGGACAUGUCUGUUUGUAAUGCGCUGAUGACUCAUUAUUCCAAGGUGUGUGAAAUGAGGGUUGUGGAAUCAAUAUUCAGAAGUAUGAAUUCAAGAGAUAUUGUUACGUGGAACACAAUAAUUGCUGGAUAUGUGAUAAACGGGUGCAACUCUAGGGUGUUAGGCCUGUUCCGUAGGCUUCUGUCUACAGGAAUGACCUCUGAUUCUGUUUCUUUCAUUAGUCUGCUCACUGCUUGUGCUCAAGUAGGUGAUGUCAAAGGAGGGAUGGCAGUUCAUGGUUAUAUUUAUCGGCAUCCAGUACUUCGUCAGGAAACAUCCUUAAUGAAUGCUCUUAUUAGUUUCUAUAACCAGUGUGACAGAUUUGAUGAUGCUCUUCAUUCUUUUGCUGAUAUUUUGGACAAGGAUUCAGUAUCAUGGAAUGCAAUUCUAUCGGGCUGUGCUAACAGAAAAGAACAUAUUGAGGAGUUCGCCAAACUCUUCUGUGAAAUGUGCCGCAAGGUAACUCGUUGUGACUCUGUCACAAUCUUAAAUUUUAUCCGCAUGAGUACCUUCUGUGGUGCUAAGAGGGUUCGGGAAGCUCAUGGAUAUUCCUUGCGAGUUGGUUAUAUUGGGGAAAUAUCAGUUGCAAAUGCUAUUCUCGAUGCAUAUGCAAAGUGUGGUCAGCCGCAGGAUGCAGAUACACUUUUCAGAAACCUAGCCGGUCGGAACAUUGUAACAGGCAAUACUAUGAUUUCUUGCUACCUGAAAAAUAACAGUGUAGAGCAAGCUGAGAGAAUCUUCAAUCAAAUGCCUGAGAAGGAUAGGACAACAUGGAAUCUCAUGAUUCAGUUGUAUGCACGCAAUAAUAUGUCUGAUCAAGCUUUCUGUCUGUUUCAUCAGUUGCAGUGUCCCGAUACUGUUGGCAUUACAAAUAUUCUCCUCGCUUGCAUCCAUUUGAGUUCGGUACAACUUGUGAAACAAUGCCAUAGCUACAUGCUCAGAGCAUCCCUAGAAGACAUCCAUCUUGAAGGAGCUCUUCUUGAUGCAUAUUCAAAGUGCGGGAAUAUAACCAAUGCAUACAAUCUAUUUCGAGUCAGCCCUAACAAAGACCUUGUCACAUUCACUGCCAUGAUAGGAGGCUAUGCAAUGCAUGGAAUGGCAGAAGAGGCAGUGGAGCUGUUUUAUGAAAUGCUUACACUUGACAUUAAGCCAGACCAUGUAGCUCUAACUGCUCUGCUGUCAGCCUGCAGUCAUGCUGGGCUUGUUGAUGCAGGAAUCAAGGUUUUCAAGUUCGCCAGAGAUAUUUACAGAGUUGAACCGACAGCAGAGCACUACACAUGCAUGGUUGACCUUCUUGCCCGCGGUGGGCGUCUCCAAGACGCAUACAGUUUUGUGUUGGAUAUGCCCCCUCACAUGGCCAAUGCAAAUGUAUGGGGCUCUCUGCUAGGAGCAUGCAAGGUCCAUGGAGAGAUCAGAAUCGGCCAGCUCGCAGCUGAUCACUUGUUCUCCAUGGAGGCCGGGGACAUAGGGAACUAUAUCAUUGUGUCAAACAUCUAUGCAGCUGAUGAGAAAUGGGACGGUGUGGAGCAUGUCAGGAAAUUGAUGAAGUCCAAGGAUAUGAAGAAACCUGCAGGAUGCAGCCAGGCACUUGUUUAUAGCCAGUGAUGUUAAUCACCAAGAUAGUUCUUUUAUCUACGACAUGGUUGGAAGUUUGUAUCAGCAAAUCAAAGAUACACAAGCUGGCAAAGAACAUUCAGUUACAACUUUCAACAUUAGUGCAAUUGAUCUGGUCACAGGGUUGCAGAAACUUGAGUUGGAGUUUUUCUUCUCAAACAUGUCUUUUGGUAGCUCUUCCGAUCCAUAGUAUUUAUCUUUCUGAGAAUUGAGACAAAUAAGUAACAUGGCUCCAGGCCACAGCAUGCAUCCUGGAGUUGAAGCAAGCAGCAAAUAUAUCAUGUGUCAUCUCCAUUGGAACUCUCUUCGGCUUUCUACUAAGUACCAACCAAGGUUCACUACUCUGGAAGUCUUGGUGACAGUUGCUGACUCACUGGCAUUAGGAAUUUCAGCAAUGUUAUCUUUUUGGGGAAAUCUGAUUGGAGGUCUGUUAACAGCGUCAGCCAGGCCGAUGAAACAACACAAGUAGCAGGAGUGAGGGUGAGAGCUCUCGUUCGGCUCGCUUGGUGUUGAUCGAAGAUAUCUGGGUGGAAAUUGGUGGAUUUCUCGAUUGGUUGAAGGAAGUAAAACAAAGGAGACCCACUACCCAGCGUCCUUUCGGCGAGUGUUGGGGUCUUACCUAUUUAAGCUAAAAUAAGGCCAUUCAAGAAGGCUGUCAACUGUAAACAUGUAUAGGCCGAAGAUCCCCAAUUCGGGGUGGGCUGCUUUCGAUCACAGGUUGCGUGGCACAGCUGAUGGAGGCGAUGAUGUUGAUGUCAACUCAUUUCCUGCUCUCUCGGGUUCUAGAGGCUCCAGUUCUGCCAGCAGCUCAGCUAUAGGAAAUAAUAAUAUGCCAAAGGCAAAGCCUUUUGCAUCAGUGAUUCGCCCCCCUGUUGAAUUUGCAGUUGUUGGUAAUGAAAAUGGAAAUAGGCAUUUGACUGAUCACAUGGUGAGAACAAAUUCUGGUGUAAACUCUGCAUCUGGUAACAAAAUUAAGCUCCUGAAGGAUGCUCAUAGUUGGGCCGACAGUAAUUUAAUUGAGGACAUAUUGGCUGGCGUGGAUAAUGAUGUUGGCCAGUCAUCUGUUUUGCUGAAAUCCAUGGUCGCUCCUGACUUUCUGCCAAGGGAGGGUAGAACAACUGGUCAAUCUCCUUUUGAGAUGAAUAAAGCACAUGGUUCAGUGUCAGGAAACACUAUAGCAGAGAAUAAACAUUCAAAUGAAUCACAACUGUUGCCACCGCAAAUGAAUUUAAUCUCUAUACCCCAGGAGCCUGAAUUAGAAGAGUUUGAUGAUGAUUACUUAAACCACCGGAAAGAUGCAUUGAAGAUGAUGAGGGCUGCCACAAAGCAUUCUCAGGCUGCCAGCAAUGCAUUCUUCAGAGGUGACCAUGCUGCUGCCAAGGAACUCUCCCUCAGAGCUCAAGAAGAGCGGUUGGCUGCUGAAAAGUUAAAUAAUAAGGCAGCAGAAGAAAUAUUUCAUCUCAGGAACAGCAACAAUAACAUUUGGAAGAUAGACAUGCAUGGUCUACAUGCAUCAGAGGCUGUAACUGCAUUGGAGAGGCAUCUUCACAUGUUAGAGUUCCAGCCACCAGGGAAUAAUCCAACUUCAACUGAUGAAUUAGAUAAGUCUGAACCCACAAUUGCUGUCCCAAAUGAGGUUGCAGCAGAGAAAGUGGUGGUGUUUCUUCGCCCUAGACAGUCUGUCUUAGAGGUGAUCACAGGGAUUGGCAGGCACAGCAAAGGACAGGCUUCACUGCCUGCUGCAGUCAGGGGCUUCCUUAUUGAAAAUGGGUACCGAUUUGAGGAGCAGAGGCCUGGUGUUUUCUCUGUUCGCCCUAAAUUUCGCCGCGGGUAAACCUGUGCAAGACUGAAACCAUUCCAUCAAGUUCCGUUGUUCGGCAAAUAAAUUUCUGUGAAAUGUGCUGUCAACGAAAUAGAACAUAGGAAUUUGGGCAACUCGUAGUUCGUGUAUCUUGAAUGUGGGAACUAGGCGUCGACCAGUUGGCUAGUGAUGCGCUACCGGCUGCCCGCCCAGCCUUUCACCAUCGUCCGAGCCUUGUGUUCCGCAGGGUGUGUGUGCCUGAUUUUAAUUUUUCUUAACAAAUUGUCGUAGGGGCUAGUCCGUAUGGGUCUCCUUUUUUUUUGUAUCUUGAAUGUAACAAGUUUUACAGAUACUAAUGUUAUUGUGUAGCCAUCUGACAAGAGAUGCAUAAUUGUAUGUAACUAUAUACAAGAUGACAAUCAAGGCCACAAUGUACUGUUAUUUUGCUUACUGCUGCAACCAAGGUUUCUGAUUACUCUA